RNAcentral lists this ribosomal RNA (484 nucleotides) under uncultured bacterium. RNAcentral describes it as "partial 16S ribosomal RNA". It matches the Rfam family "Bacterial small subunit ribosomal RNA", at positions 30 to 507 of the family's 1533-position model. The record is from RNAcentral.
AUUGAACGCUGGCGGCAGGCCUAACACAUGCAAGUCGAGCGGAUGAAGGGAGCUUGCUCCUGGGUUCAGCGGCGGACGGGUGAGUAAUGCCUAGGAAUCUGCCUGGUAGUGGGGGAUAACGUCCGGAAACGGGCGCUAAUACCGCAUACGUCCUGAGGGAGAAAGUGGGGGAUCUUCGGACCUCACGCUAUCAGAUGAGCCUAGGUCGGAUUAGCUAGUUGGUGGGGUAAAGGCCUACCAAGGCGACGAUCCGUAACUGGUCUGAGAGGAUGAUCAGUCACACUGGAACUGAGACACGGCCCAGACUCCUACGGGAGGCAGCAGUGGGGAAUAUUGGACAAUGGGCGAAAGCCUGAUCCAGCAAUGCCGCGUGUGUGAAGAAGGUCUUCGGAUUGUAAAGCACUUUAAGUUGGGAGGAAGGGCAGUAAGUUAAUACCUUGCUGUUUUGACGUUACCCACAGAAUAAGCACCGGCUAACUUCGUG